RNAcentral lists this unclassified non-coding RNA (379 nucleotides) under uncultured bacterium. Its description in RNAcentral is "contains 16S-23S intergenic spacer region". The record is from RNAcentral.
UCCGAGUUGACCCCGGCAGUCUCUCACGAGUCCCCGCCAUUACGCGCUGGCAACAUACGAUAAGGGUUGCGCUCGUUGCGGGACUUAACCCAACAUCUCACGACACGAGCUGACGACGGCCAUGCAGCACCUGUCAUUAGGCUCCCGAAGGCACCCCUCUGUUUCCAGUGGGUUUCUAAGAUGUCAAGCCUCGGUAAGGUUCUACGCGUAGCGUCAUAUUAAACCACAUCCUCCUCUGCUUGUGCGGGUCCCCGUCAAUUCCUUUGAGUUUUAGCCUUGCGGCCGUACUUCCCAGGCGGCAUACUUAUCGCGUUAGCUUCGUCUCACAGGGGGUCGAUACCCCAUAAGACUAGUAUGCAUCGUUUACGGCGUGGACUAC